RNAcentral lists this ribosomal RNA (253 nucleotides) under uncultured bacterium. Its description in RNAcentral is "partial 16S ribosomal RNA". It matches the Rfam family "Bacterial small subunit ribosomal RNA", at positions 524 to 776 of the family's 1533-position model. The record is from RNAcentral.
UACGUAGGGACCAAGCGUUGUUCGGAUUUACUGGGCGUAAAGGGCGCGUAGGCGGCGUGACAAGUCACUUGUGAAAUCUCCGGGCUUAACUCGGAACGGCCAAGUGAUACUGUCGUGCUAGAGUGCAGAAGGGGCAAUCGGAAUUCUUGGUGUAGCGGUGAAAUGCGUAGAUAUCAAGAGGAACACCUGAGGUGAAGACGGGUUGCUGGGCUGACACUGACGCUGAAGCGCGAAAGCUAGGGGAGCGAAUGGG